GACGAACGCUGGCGGCGUGCUUAACACAUGCAAGUCGAACGGUAAGGCCCUUCGGGGUACACGAGUGGCGAACGGGUGAGUAACACGUGGGUGAUCUGCCCUGCACUUCGGGAUAAGCCUGGGAAACUGGGUCUAAUACCGGAUAGGACCACUGCCUGCAUGGGUGGUGGUGGAAAGCUUUUGCGGUGUGGGAUGGGCCCGCGGCCUAUCAGCUUGUUGGUGGGGUGCUGGGCUACCAAGGCGACGAAGGGUAGCCGGCCUGAGAGGGUGACCGGCCACACUGGGACUGGGAUACGGCCGAGACUCCUACGGGAGGCAGCAGUGUGGAAUAUUGCACAAUGGGCGCAAGCCUGAUGCAGCGACGCCGCGUGAGGGAUGACGGCCUUCGGGUUGUGAACCUCUUUCAGCACCGACGAAGCGCAAGUGACGGUAGGUGCAGAAGAAGGACCGGCCAACUACGUGCCAGCCGCCGCAGUAA
This 478-nucleotide ribosomal RNA is filed under the name uncultured bacterium. RNAcentral's name for it is "partial 16S ribosomal RNA". It matches the Rfam family "Bacterial small subunit ribosomal RNA", at positions 28 to 523 of the family's 1533-position model. The record is from RNAcentral.